AGCUUUUUAUGCAGUUGCCUGCAGCUGGGGUCUGAUUUGGCAGGCUAUGGGGCUGGGGGACUGCCUUUUGGAUUUGCAUAAAUACGACUGUGCAUAUAUGACUGGACAAAUUUGAUGGGAGGAUGGUGCCUACUUCUUCCUUGCAUGGCCACUCCGUCUUCUCUUCCUUCUUGGACUGACUAGGGCGAGUGACAGCUGCCAAUUUCCUCUCCUUGGCUUGCUUGGUGUCUCCUCUUUCCAGGAUUACUUUCCAGGCUUGGCAUGGCCCUCAUUUCACCUUGCUCUCACAACAACAUGGUUUUCUGUCCUCACAUAGGAGAGAAUCACUUUGCUUGGCAAGCAGAGCAACCAGCUAGGAGAUUGUACGGUUACAAAUCAAAAGAGUUUUAAAUAGAAGUUGAUAUGUAAGGAAAUUCAAAUUAAUACUGAAACAAUGAUAAAAAUUGUGGUAAAAUUUAUCACAAAAGUCUUUCUGUGCAUGAUGGCCAGUCCCACAAUUUUAAUUGUAGUCAUUCCCCCUGCAGCACAUAAAUGGCUCUUAAGAAUAUAAUUUUCUUUUGCCAUGUAGUGCAUGAAAAACACCUGACAAUGUGCUAACAAACAGAGCAGGAAUAGUGGAAUAUGCUUGUUGAAAAAUAGAAUGCAGUUAGGUUGUUUGUGAGGACAUACCUUGAUUGAUUCCAUUUGAUCUUUAUUUUCUCCCAGAGUAUGCAGUAUAAAAACUCUAACAAUUCAUCUGUUCUUGCAUUCAUCUGUUACUGCGCUGUCACCCCACCAGUCAUGGACCGCUUGCUUUGUGCUUGCCAAAAUUUGUUGCAGUAACCACUACAGCAGUGUGGACAACCCAGAAUAGCCAUUGGGCAGGUGGAAUAGAUCCACAGUGGUGGAAAGACUUGCAAAUUUCAGGUCCAGGAACACAGAGAAGACCUACAUGAACAGGGACUUUUAAUUUAUGUACAAGGAGGGAAUAAACUGACUCAUCUCUGAGAGACGGUUCUGUGUAGGAAGGCAGGAGAAUGAUGUAGUCCCUUUGGAUUUUGUUUUGUGGAUUUUGGGAUGGGAGUUGUUUGUUUCUGUGUUUAUUUUCCAGAACACCUGAGAGUUAUCCUGCAUUCAUACAGUUCAAGAAGGGAAGGGCUCAGGGCUGAUACCCUAGCAGUCAUGCCUGCCCGUGUUAUACAGUACCACAGGGCUGUCCCCUAUCUCCACCACUGCUGAUUUGGCAUCCCUCUCAUUCCCAGCAGUAUGGAGAGGAGAAUGGAAUACAAAGCAGAGGCAUUUGUGUCAUCUCUCUUGUCCUACAUCUCUAGCUGUUUGUAAACAACUACAGUGACUUGUUUUGGUGUUGUGGUCAGCCUGCAGCCCUGUUUGUAUUUAAUAAAGAAACUUCUGGAGAAGA
Molecule: long non-coding RNA, 1399 nt
Organism: Vidua macroura (Pin-tailed whydah)
Lineage: Eukaryota; Metazoa; Chordata; Aves; Passeriformes; Viduidae
Exons: 2
Source: RefSeq, a predicted model, not a curated record